UCUGAGGGCUGUGGGACGGAUGUGAGGAAAUAGUGCAAGCUCUGCACUUUAAAUGUGAGCUGUACGCCGUUAGCAGAAGAGAGCACCGGGUGAGGGUAUUCAGUGUGGACUCCAGUGAAGGAUACACACGCCGGUGACUCAAGAUCCAUCACUCUUCACCCCGUUCCUCCUGCAUAUGCGAUCAGAGUUUAAUCCAGAGAGUGCUUGCUGAGCGGGGAGUGAGCGGUUCUUGGUGUAGAGAUGGGUCCAUCCAGGAAGGAACUUCUGUUCCCAUCACUGCUUGCUCAGAUGGAGAAUACGCAGAAGUCUGAACAUAAAACACGUUCCCCGCUCUUCUCUACUGUUCUUUGUGCCAAGAAAACAAAAUCUCGAGAAUUGCAGAGGAGG
Peromyscus eremicus (cactus mouse) is the source of this 387-nucleotide long non-coding RNA. RefSeq lists it as uncharacterized. The record is from RefSeq and is a predicted model, not a curated record. NCBI's taxonomy places the organism in Eukaryota, Metazoa, Chordata, Mammalia, Rodentia, Cricetidae. The transcript is spliced from 3 exons.